Molecule: ribosomal RNA, 306 nt
Filed under: Triticum aestivum (bread wheat)
Lineage: Eukaryota; Viridiplantae; Streptophyta; Magnoliopsida; Poales; Poaceae
Description: partial small subunit ribosomal RNA
Source: RNAcentral
AUGUUCACCAUCAGUGCUUGUAGACUUAUUCAUGUAAAUCUGAAGCUUCCAUUUGAGCUGACGUUUCUUUAUUUUGGUGAGGCAAACAGCAUCGACUCGACCAUGCCCGCCGAGGCUUUGUUUGCCAGCGAAGUUAGAAGCCCUUUGAGUGCGACCACGGCUUCAUCUUUGGUGGUUACAGGAUGCCGAGAAGGUGAAAGUGAAACUAAGAAGAAACUAAGUGUUAAAGAUGUACAACCCUACAGCCCUGUGUAUCUUAUUUCUAAAAAAGCGUGGCAAGGUGCUGAAAUCUUCAGAAGUGGUUAA